RNAcentral lists this ribosomal RNA (301 nucleotides) under uncultured bacterium. Its description in RNAcentral is "partial 16S ribosomal RNA". It matches the Rfam family "Bacterial small subunit ribosomal RNA", at positions 509 to 807 of the family's 1533-position model. The record is from RNAcentral.
CAGUCGCCGCGGUAAUACGAAGGGUGCAAGCGUUAAUCGGAAUUACUGGGCGUAAAGCGUGCGUAGGCGGUGAGUUAAGUCUGCUGUGAAAUCCCCGGGCUCAACCUGGGAAUGGCAGUGGAUACUGGCUCGCUAGAGUGUGUCAGAGGAUGGUGGAAUUCCCAGUGUAGCGGUGAAAUGCGUAGAGAUCGGGAGGAACAUCAGUGGCGAAGGCGGCCAUCUGGGACAACACUGACGCUGAGGCACGAAAGCGUGGGGAGCAAACAGGAUUAGAUACCCCCGUAGUCCCUGUCUCUUAUAC